Molecule: long non-coding RNA, 2556 nt
Organism: Branchiostoma floridae (Florida lancelet)
Lineage: Eukaryota; Metazoa; Chordata; Leptocardii; Amphioxiformes; Branchiostomatidae
Exons: 2
Source: RefSeq, a predicted model, not a curated record
UUACACACCCAAGCGUUUGAUGUGCUAUCGGCUUGCAUACGCUAGACGAAAAAACUCAACUUUUGGCGCCCUUGGUAGAAAAAUGAAAACGGUUCAAUACUACAAAGAAACUAUCAAAGAAGCACAGUAGUAGAUCAAACUUUUGUGAAGUAGGGGGUCAGAUAUGUAGUGUUGUUACCUGACAGCGGAACCGGCUGAAACCGGUUUUCUCUUUUGUUUACAAAAGACGCCAUUUUACUAUUUGGGACCUCGUUCAAAAUUUCUAGAAUAAGCUUAACUAUGGGAGAAAGUGUAGCUGCGAAAGUGCACUAAAGAUCUUGUAGAAUUAUUGGUAGCUUAAAUCUUGCAGACACAACAAACUGUACAAAUAAUUUGCUACAGCCGAUUCUCUCUCAAAUUUCGCGCCCGGGACGACAACAAUGGGGCCACGCCAGCUCAUUUCCAUAUCACUGCCGUCACAGGUAAGUUGUUGUUGUAAGAACGUACGGAGGCGAGAACAAACCGCUCUGAUGUUCGCCGACAACCUAAUUAUAAGUCUAGAGCAUAGCUAUUCUUCCACGUGAAAAUCUGAACAAAACGUACGAUUCGUAUUUUGAGCCAUAUCUACCGAUAGUUUACACUUAAGCUGACCAAAAAAACUUCAUCGUGAAGAAAAAACUAUCGCCGCCAUCUUGGAGAAAAAUCAAUCGAUUCUCUUCUAUCGCUGUGGAACUAUGGGACAAAACGUAGUGAAAAUGUGACAAAAUUAGCUAAAAUGCCGAAGACACUCAAAACUGCAUAAGGUGAAAUAUUCUUAUAGGUCCUGAAGUCUAAAGCAUAGGUCAAAGCUUUGCCAGGUGCGUAAAAUAGAGCAUUAAAUUCAAAGUUCAAAGUUCAGUGACCCAAAACGACCUCCAAUACGCACAUGGAACAGCGGGCGAUUUGAAGCGUUUUGCACAUCGUCAUCCCAAAUAAUUGAGAUAUUUUUAAGGCGAACUAAUGUAAUUUUCGUGUGCAUAUAUUUUUUUCCUGAUGUGAUAAUCAUAUCGUGCUUUAUAUUGGAUGAAAUUUGUGUUGUUUUUUUCACACCGCCACGGCUCGCGCGGGCCGGUUUGUGGGCGGAGCACUCUGGCUUGACAACGCGGAUAAUACCCUAGCAACGUGACCACCGUGUCAAGUCAAGGACAUUUCCUGGUGAUCAUUCCUUAAUUCAGUUCUGAGUGCAGACACUGCUAUCAUAGACUCCUGUUGUAUUCACUACCAGUGCUUUGUACAGCCGUGAGGUAUAUUACGGUUUAGCAAAAUGAGCCGUUUGGCUUCCUACAGCCACGUGAAACACACCGAUAUUCUGUGGACACUUGUUGUGCUUCUACUGUUCAAUGGCGAGCCCAUUUCGGGACAAGAUACAGACGACUGCAUUGGUGUGAUCUGUCAAAAUGGCGGGAUCUGCAUCGACGGCUUCAACAAUUACACUUGUAACUGUACUGCAGGGUUUGAAGGCGUUCACUGUGAAACAGGUAAGUUCUACGAAGAAAGAGACUCUUUUUGUACAAUCAUCGCUAAAUUCGCACCAACUUCACCUUCUUCAGGGUAAUUCUGACUGGUUCACAUUGUACUGCAGCAUAGAUGUCGCUGCUCACAGCUGUGCAUUGCUUGGCACCUAUGCAGCAGUGCAAUAUGAACCGAUUAGAAUUUCUGUGCAGAAUUUGAUAGACGGUCACCGAAACGCUGGUUGUGAAUAAAGUCAUGGCUGUGUAAAAAGAGUCUUUUUAUUCAUUGACGUGUCAAUCGGAUGGUACUUUACGCAGAAUUCCUUUGCAGAAUUUUGGAAAAUUCAUGUUCUUUGGUACAUAAGGAGAUUACUAGUAAAUAUUGCAUUUUGAAACCAAAAUGUCCACAGAAAAUAUCCGAAACCUUACUGUAUUGGCUUGUCAAGCCUUUCAAACUUUUUCUGUUCUGCAUUCAUGACCAUUUCUCCCUCUGGAGUCUGAUCUUACCUCCACGGUCUGUGCUAUUCUGAUUCAUGUAUCUCUUAUUCUGAUUGGUCAGAGUCUUGUGUGUCUACUGGGACACGAACUGGGACGCAAACCUGCAUCCAUCAGCUUAACAAUCGCAUGCACAACCACUAAGCUAUGAGAGUCUGCAUCACGUAAUGGUUACAGUAUUUUUAACCGAAGCGAACGAGAUGGUUUUAUGAGGUAGUUAUAGCAAAAGACCAGGCGUUAUCACACCAUAAACACCGAGGUAUGAGGGAGAUGGGUACACAUGUACAGGUAAUAGCAUUCUUUAUUAUGUGUGUGUGUGUGUGUGCGUGUGUGUUUUAUUAAUGGGGGGGGGGAGAAAAGUGAAUAAUUUUACUUAUGGGUUCUCAGUAAUAAAUUGCCUAUGGCUGUGCUAUUCUUUUAUGAAUGUUGGGGUAUUUUCUAGCGUAUCGAGCGGUCUCACUAAAUACCGAAAACAACCGAAAACAACCGAAAACAACUCGACAAAUACUGAAAACAACUCGAAGCCACCUAAAAAAUAUCAAAGCAAUCAUGAACAACCUAUCAGAACCCGAAAAAAGCCGGAAAAUAACCC